Callithrix jacchus (white-tufted-ear marmoset) is the source of this 386-nucleotide long non-coding RNA. RefSeq lists it as uncharacterized. Lineage: Eukaryota; Metazoa; Chordata; Mammalia; Primates; Cebidae. The record is from RefSeq and is a predicted model, not a curated record.
CAGGGAAUGGAAUAAAGUCUGUCAGGAAGAGAUUCCCACUUGCGUCUCCCACUUGCGUCAGAGAUCAGAAGAGACUCCCAAAGGCUAACAAGAAUAAGGAUCACACAGCCAGACCAGUCAUUCUGAGCCCACCUGAUAAAGACCAACAUUUCAGCUCUGCUAUGCACUACCUGUGUCUCUCUUGAUGAAAGAACUGAAGCCUAGAGACACUAAUGAAUCGCCAGAGUCCCAGAGCUGGGUGAUGACAAGGCUGGAAGACCACCUUCUCGCAGAGGGCACCUGUGAGAACUCAUUUCAGGCUGCCACAGAGCCACUACAAACCAACAGCAAUUUUUGUAUUGCUUUAUUUAAGUUUCAGGUUUAUUCUAACCAAGCAGAGUUAUCCC